UCAGCAAAUACGGACAUCAGGCGAUUGC
RNAcentral lists this non-coding RNA (28 nucleotides) under Bombyx mori (domestic silkworm). Lineage: Eukaryota; Metazoa; Arthropoda; Insecta; Lepidoptera; Bombycidae. The record is from RNAcentral.